Molecule: ribosomal RNA, 301 nt
Filed under: uncultured bacterium
Lineage: Bacteria
Description: partial 16S ribosomal RNA
Rfam family: Bacterial small subunit ribosomal RNA
Source: RNAcentral
CAGUCGCCGCGGUAAUGCGUAGGUGGCAAGCGUUGUCCGGAAUUAUUGGGCGUAAAGGGCUCGCAGGCGGUUUCUUAAGUCUGAUGUGAAAGCCCCCGGCUCAACCGGGGAGGGUCAUUGGAAACUGAGAAACUUGAGUGCAGAAGAGGAGAGUGGAAUUCCACGUGUAGCGGUGAAAUGCGUAGGGAUGUGGAGGAACACCAGUGGCGAAGGCGACUCUCUGGUCUGUAACUGACGCUGAGGAGCGAAAGCGUGGGGAGCGAACAGGAUUAGAUACCCCUGUAGUCCCUGUCUCUUAUAC